This 329-nucleotide ribosomal RNA is filed under the name uncultured eukaryote. RNAcentral describes it as "partial 18S ribosomal RNA". It matches the Rfam family "Eukaryotic small subunit ribosomal RNA", at positions 1470 to 1796 of the family's 1831-position model. The record is from RNAcentral.
CCCUUAGAUGUUCUGGGCCGCACGCGCGCUACACUGAUUCAUUCAACGAGUCUAAAACCUGCUCUGAUAGGGGUGGGUAAUCUUUUGAAUGUGCAUCGUGAUUGGGAUAGAUGAUUGCAAUUUUUCAUCUUCAACGAGGAAUGCCUAGUAAACGCAAGUCAUCAGCUUGCAUUGAUUACGUCCCUGCCCUUUGUACACACCGCCCGUCGCUCCUACCGAUUGAAUGAUCCGAUGAAUAUCAUGGAUUGAGGAUGCAAGUAGGUUAGCCUAUCUUCAUCUUCGAGAAGUGAAGUAAAUCUUAUCAUUUAGAGGAAGGAGAAGUCGUAACA